This 429-nucleotide ribosomal RNA is filed under the name Pseudomonadota bacterium. Its description in RNAcentral is "Proteobacteria bacterium partial 16S ribosomal RNA". It matches the Rfam family "Bacterial small subunit ribosomal RNA", at positions 355 to 776 of the family's 1533-position model. Lineage: Bacteria; Pseudomonadati; Pseudomonadota. The record is from RNAcentral.
UGGGGAAUAUUGGACAAUGGGCGAAAGCCUGAUCCAGCCAUGCCGCGUGUGUGAAGAAGGUCUUCGGAUUGUAAAGCACUUUAAGUUGGGAGGAAGGGCAGUAAGCGAAUACCUUGCUGCUUUGACGUUACCGACAGAAUAAGCACCGGCUAACUCUGUGCCAGCAGCCGCGGUAAUACAGAGGGUGCAAGCGUUAAUCGGAAUUACUGGGCGUAAAGCGCGCGUAGGUGGUUCGUUAAGUUGAAUGUGAAAGCCCCGGGCUCAACCUGGGAACUGCAUCCAAAACUGGCAAGCUAGAGUAGGGCAGAGGGUGGUGGAAUUUCCUGUGUAGCGGUGAAAUGCGUAGAUAUAGGAAGGAACACCAGUGGCGAAGGCGACCACCUGGGCUCAUACUGACACUGAGGUGCGAAAGCGUGGGGAGCAAACAGG